ACCAAAAACUUGAAUUCAAACUUGGAAAAAUUUGAACUUUUUUUUGUGUUUUUUUCGGUUUGUUUUUUUGUUUUUUUUUUUUUUUUGACUCCUCUCCUGACGGGGAACAGAACACAAUGCCCUCUGAUGCCGGUUCGAAAAAAAGCGGAACGGAA
RNAcentral lists this non-coding RNA (155 nucleotides) under Ctenophora environmental sample. The record is from RNAcentral. Lineage: Eukaryota; Metazoa; Ctenophora.